This is a long non-coding RNA of Arabidopsis thaliana (thale cress), 239 nucleotides long. RefSeq annotates it as other RNA. The record is from RefSeq. The transcript has a single exon. NCBI's taxonomy places the organism in Eukaryota, Viridiplantae, Streptophyta, Magnoliopsida, Brassicales, Brassicaceae.
AACAUGCUUCUUGCUUUCUAGAGUUUUCGAGUCUUUUAACCACACAUGGAGAACAUGAUACUCCGAUCACAGAGACAUGAGCUAAAACACCCAUAAAUAUUACAAUUCUAGAUUCCUUCUCCUGAGGAGUGAGGAGAUGCAACUUUGUGUGCUCUCAAUCCCAGGAAACACACAUUCAUCUAACAGACUAAAAAACUCAUCCACAUCAUACCACUAUUCCAAGGUUUUACGUGCCAACA